GUUCUGUGCUAUUACCCCUAUUAUUGCUCAUCAUCCUCUUCUCUUCAUUUUCAUUCCCACCUUUUCAGCAGCUAUUAUUGUAUUAUUAUUUUAUCCCAUUUCCCAUAUCUUUCAUUGGAGAAUCCAUGUACGGACGAUGAUAGGGGAGGUUCUUGUAGUUGUAUAGGACUAAUAAAUAAUGUGGGCUCAACUGGUUAGCCAUGGCUGAUACAGGAAAGGAUUGAUGGGUUGCUGUAAAUAUGAAAUACAUGAACCAAGGAGGACCCACCUGCCGUUUCAGAAGUUGGCAGAGAAAAUCUUAGGGACAAAGUGAUCUUUUCCAGGGAGGACAUAUUGACUGAUUUGUAAUGCGAGUUGAGGCUCUUAUCUAUAUUCUAUAGCAUGUUGUUUUGAAUUUAUACGAGUUACACAAUUCA
This 416-nucleotide unclassified non-coding RNA is filed under the name Hevea brasiliensis (rubber tree). The record is from RNAcentral. Lineage: Eukaryota; Viridiplantae; Streptophyta; Magnoliopsida; Malpighiales; Euphorbiaceae.